UGCUAAACCUAUUAGUAUUACGAAGGCAGCGGGCAGCGGAUCCUCUCUCUCUCUUUUUUUUUUUUACCCUUUUGGACUGUCGCAAUCAAUAAUCUAUCAGGCCCGUGUGUCACGCAAUGACACAUAACACGUUGUAAACAUGCUCUUGAUACGGUACUAAUUUAUGGUUGUAAAUAUCUGCGGACAGGCGGGAGUGACGCACCUGUUCGUGAUAGGUUUUUAUUACAGAUUAUCUUGUUCGCAGGAAUGGUUUAGAUAAGAAGGAUGGUAAUGCGGUACGUUAUUUAUUUAAAUAAUAUUUAUUUGUCAAACUUAUGAAUUUUAGAAAGUUAAAGAAAAUCGCUGCAGGCAUAAUUAUUACUGAAGGCUCGAAUAUACUCCAGAAUACAAAAGCCAAAUUAUUUCCAAGGCCUGAUUCUUUCCAAACAUCAAUCUUCUCACAUCAUAUAAGCAUAAAUUACGAUGCGCUCUAUAGGGAGCUUCAGGCAGAAAGCGAUGAAACUUUAAAUCCUGUUAGAUUAGCUCUUUAGACCAUCAAGAUAGGCAUAACGAAUGGCUGUUUCAUGUAUUAAACGAGGCUUUCUCCAUAUACCACGAGAAGGAACGAAAGUUCUAACCAUCUCUCUCUCUCUUCUGUAAUAACGAAAAUCUACUAGUGGGCGUAAAAUAUUUUAAACGAUAUGUCGAGCCGUAUGUUGUAUAAUAAAUAAAUGAGUGUACCCGAUAAAACUUUACCCAAUUGAGCAAAUCGAAGCCAGAAAUAAUUAUUAAUGGAAGAGUGCAUAAUUCAUUGGAGGACGCCAGCUGCUGCCCUUUAAUUAACGACGCGAGGAGGGCAGUUUAGGAAUUAAACAGCACACCAAUGGGGCACGGAGGAGGUGUGGUCUUUAUCGACACACUUCGGCCGAGAACACCGCUCGGAGUUUUUUUCUUUUUGUUUUUUCUUUUACGCUAACUAUGGAUAAUUAUUUUUGGUGAAAUUU
Molecule: long non-coding RNA, 983 nt
Filed under: Androctonus crassicauda
Lineage: Eukaryota; Metazoa; Arthropoda; Arachnida; Scorpiones; Buthidae
Source: RNAcentral